Molecule: ribosomal RNA, 273 nt
Filed under: uncultured prokaryote
Description: partial 16S ribosomal RNA
Rfam family: Bacterial small subunit ribosomal RNA
Source: RNAcentral
UACGUAGGGGCUAGCGUUAUCCGGAAUUACUGGGCGUAAAGGGUGCGUAGGCGGUCUUUCAAGCCAGAAGUGAAAGGCUACGGCUCAACCGUAGUAAGCUUUUGGAACUGUAAGACUUGAGUGCAGGAGAGGAGAGUGGAAUUCCUAGUGUAGCGGUGAAAUGCGUAGAUAUUAGGAGGAACACCAGUAGCGAAGGCGGCUCUCUGGACCGUAACUGACGCUGAGACACGAAAGCGUGGGGAGCAGACAGGAUUAGAUACCCUGGUAGUCCCU